UCCCUGGAGGACUAGUGGUUAGGCCUUGGUGCUCUCACCACCACAGCCCAUGUUCGAUUCCUGGCCAGUGAA
Molecule: transfer RNA, 72 nt
Filed under: Pangasianodon gigas (Mekong giant catfish)
Lineage: Eukaryota; Metazoa; Chordata; Actinopteri; Siluriformes; Pangasiidae
Description: tRNA-Glu
Source: RNAcentral